RNAcentral lists this long non-coding RNA (230 nucleotides) under Gossypium barbadense (sea-island cotton). RNAcentral describes it as "long non-coding RNA (GBAR_LNC021751)". Lineage: Eukaryota; Viridiplantae; Streptophyta; Magnoliopsida; Malvales; Malvaceae. The record is from RNAcentral.
CUUGAUCCACUUAGGCCAAUUUGUUGUCCUUGCAAUUUCGAUUGCUUUGGAUCUCUCCUGAGAAAGUUUUAGGAUCUUAAUAGCUACUAGCCAUGUCUAAUCUUGACCUAUAGCUAAAGAUAUGCCUACGUGUUUUACUUUCAAUGUAAAUAUGAAAAACAAUCAAAUUUUAAAAAGGGAAACUUAAACCUAAAAAAGUUGAAAUUAAAAAAAGCACAACUCAAAAAAGC